UGGGGAAUUUUCCGCAAUGGGCGAAAGCCUGACGGAGUGACGCCGCGUGUGGGACGAAGGCCUUCGGGUCGUAAACCACUGUCAGUGGGAAAGAUGGGUGUCGGGGCUAAUACCUCCGGCAUCUGACGGUACCUGCAGAGGAAGCCCCGGCCAACUCUGUGCCAGCAGCCGCGGUAAGACAGAGGGGGCAAGCGUUGCUCGGAAUUACUGGGCGUAAAGGGCGCGUAGGCGGGAUGGCAAGUCGGUCGUGAAAUCCCUCGGCUCAACCGAGGAACGUCGAUCGAUACUGCUGUUCUUGAGGAUUGCAGAGGAGACUGGAAUUCCCGGUGUAGCGGUGAAAUGUGUAGAGAUCGGGAGGAACACCGGUGGCGAAGGCGGGUCUCUGGGCAAUUCCUGACGCUGAGGCGCGAAAGCGUGGGGAGCAAACG
RNAcentral lists this ribosomal RNA (428 nucleotides) under Candidatus Rokuibacteriota bacterium. RNAcentral's name for it is "partial 16S ribosomal RNA". It matches the Rfam family "Bacterial small subunit ribosomal RNA", at positions 355 to 774 of the family's 1533-position model. Lineage: Bacteria; Candidatus Rokuibacteriota. The record is from RNAcentral. RNAcentral also lists the same sequence under 3 other names.